CUGACCUGCCCAAUGAGGAAUUGAAUGGCCGCAGUAUUUUAACUGUGCUAAGGUAGCAUAAUCAUUUGUCUUUUAAUUGAGGGCUGGAAUGAAAGGUUGGACGAGAUAUUAACUUUCUUUAAUUUAAUUUUAAGAAUUUAAUUUUUUAGUUAAAAAGCUAAAAUUUAUUUGUUGGACGAGAAGACCCUAUAGAUCUUUAUAAUUUUAUGUUUUAAUAGUGUAGGGAAUAUUUUUUUAAAGCAAAAUAAUUAUUUUGUUGGGGUGACUGUAGAAUUUAAUUAACUUCUAUUUAUUGGAAUCAUUUAUUAAUGUUUUAUUGAUCCAUAUAUUUAUGAU
This 336-nucleotide ribosomal RNA is filed under the name Hospesneotomae protracta (western bloodsucking conenose). RNAcentral describes it as "Triatoma protracta (western bloodsucking conenose) partial 16S ribosomal RNA". The stretch from base 1 to 162 matches the Rfam family "Archaeal large subunit ribosomal RNA", at positions 1949 to 2146 of the family's 2987-position model. The record is from RNAcentral. Lineage: Eukaryota; Metazoa; Arthropoda; Insecta; Hemiptera; Reduviidae.